CCCUAGCCCCGAUGGAGGCGGCAUCCUUUGGGGUUGGAGUGAGGCGGCGGAGCGCAAGCGGAGCCGUCCGAGCGACAAGCCUAAAGAUAUAGCCGAGAGCGGGAAUUGCU
RNAcentral lists this small RNA (110 nucleotides) under Soonwooa buanensis. RNAcentral's name for it is "Flavo-1 RNA". It matches the Rfam family "Flavo-1 RNA". Lineage: Bacteria; Pseudomonadati; Bacteroidota; Flavobacteriia; Flavobacteriales; Weeksellaceae. The record is from Rfam by way of RNAcentral.